This 73-nucleotide transfer RNA is filed under the name Candidatus Aenigmatarchaeota archaeon. RNAcentral describes it as "tRNA-Gln". It matches the Rfam family "tRNA". Rfam says of the family: Transfer RNA (tRNA) molecules are approximately 80 nucleotides in length. Lineage: Archaea; Nanobdellati; Candidatus Aenigmatarchaeota. The record is from RNAcentral.
AGCCCCGUCGUCUAGCGGCCAAGGAUACCGGGCUUUGGACCCGGGGACGGCGGUUCGAAUCCGCCCGGGGCUA